UCUUCACAUAAUACAUACCUUUUUUUUCAAUGAUGGCUGGAUGAUAGUUCCUUUAUCCUUCGUAUGUACCUGCAUCUCAAACAAUGUUAGUCUUCUACUAUUAGUAAAGGCCGCCAGCAUUGGCAGAAUUUUCUACACACAUAAAAUUGAUCAUACCAAAAGCAGGAAAGCAACUAGAGUACUAUAAGCAGCAAUUUACUUCGAAGGAUUGAAUAUUAGAGUUUUUUGUGUUUGCGAAACAGAAGGUGGGAGAGGAUAUAUCGGAGAGAAGAAACUGAAUAGAAGGUGGGAGAGGAUAUGUCGGAGAGAAGAAACUGAAUCGAAAAGAGAAGGUCACGGGCGACCCGUCGGAUACCCGGAACUAGAAUGUAAAAUCUUAAAUAUCAGGACCAUUCAUUUUUUAUAAUCCGAUGGUGGAGAACAUCAUGUGCGAUAGCGUGAGAUAAAUCGUGUGAGCGGAUCCGUUCUCAUUGUUGUUUCAGGCAACAAUAUUUAGGUUUUUUAUAUGUUUGUAUUUGUUUUUUUAAUGGAUCUGAUUGCUUCUUCAUGCUAUUCUUCAUGCUAUUCGGAUUUUUUUUCCUGAUAGCCAUUAUGGCAUUGAUUGGUGGAAUUGUUGCAUCGUUUUCAAAUAUGUUAUGAAAGACGACGAUUUAUUUAGGAAAUUAAUACCGAUAUUGAUCGUGAUAGUGUCAAUUUGGGCUUAUUACUUCUCUAUAGUGGAAGCAUCUAACAUAUAUGAUGUUGAUGAUGAAGAAUCAAAGGAUAGUCAAAAUGGAUUGUAUCAAUAACCAUUAAAAAGGUGUCAAUUUCAUAUACAAAAUAUAAAUUAGUACAAUUUCGGUUUUUCAUUUCUUUAUGUUUCGAAAUCUGUAAAUUUAGUACUAGUUCUUUUUGUUUCUUACUGAUGUAAUUGAUAUUAAUGUUAUCAUGAUUCCUUGAAUGGUGAUCCUGCACCAUUAUGUAUCCUUUCAAACCUCAGUUUUAAUAAGGUAA
Papaver somniferum (opium poppy) is the source of this 993-nucleotide long non-coding RNA. RefSeq lists it as uncharacterized. The record is from RefSeq and is a predicted model, not a curated record. The transcript is spliced from 3 exons. Lineage: Eukaryota; Viridiplantae; Streptophyta; Magnoliopsida; Ranunculales; Papaveraceae.